Guyanagaster necrorhizus is the source of this 100-nucleotide non-coding RNA. The record is from the annotation of a RefSeq genome assembly. Lineage: Eukaryota; Fungi; Basidiomycota; Agaricomycetes; Agaricales; Physalacriaceae.
GGUAGCAUGGCCGAGUGGUCUAAGGCGCUGGAAUUAGGUUCCAGAGUCCUAUUAUAUAAUCCAGUCCUCCGGGGCGUGAGUUCGAACCUCACUGCUAUCA